RNAcentral lists this ribosomal RNA (406 nucleotides) under uncultured bacterium. RNAcentral's name for it is "partial 16S ribosomal RNA". It matches the Rfam family "Bacterial small subunit ribosomal RNA", at positions 30 to 526 of the family's 1533-position model. The record is from RNAcentral.
AUUGAACACUGGCGGCAGGCCUAACACAUGCAAGUCGAGCGAGUGGCGGACGGGUGAGUAAUGGCUGGGAAACGGCCUGAUGGAGGGGGAUAACUACUGGAAACGGUAGCUAAUACCGAAUACAAUCAGAUGUGCCCAGAUGGGAUGAGCUAGUAGGUGGGGUAACGGCUCACGUAGGCGACGAUCCCUAGUUGGUCUGCGAGGAUGACCAGCCACCCUGUAACUGAGACACGGUCCAGCCUCCUACGGGACGCAGCAUUGGAGAAUAUUGCACAAUGGGCUCAAGCCUGAUGCAGCCAUGCCGCGUGUGUGAAGGAGGCCUUCGGGUUGUAAAGCACUUUCAGCGGGGAGGCGUUGCCCGCAGAAGAAGCACCGGCUAACUCCGUGCCAGCAGCCGCGGUAAUAC